GUCGAUCUCCACCUAGGUAUUUAUUGUGUUUUGUGCUAUUAAUAACUAAUGGCAUACACAUAUAGUUUUGUGAUAGUUCACUGACUGUUUUACAUCCUCUCAAUGUCCGGUCAUUCUAUUAAUUUUAGGUUUCAAAUCUAUAUUUUUUGGGUAUUCUAUUGUGUACAUCCUGUUUGGGUCAGCUUGUCACCAUUUUGUAUUUUCUGCUACAAGGGUUGGCAAUACUGAGUUUGUCUUUACUAUUCUUUUUAUCCAUGCAAAGGCUGUCAAAAAAAAAAAAACACUGCUUAGGAAGGAGGUGAGAUUGGCCAUCUUAUAGCUAAUAACAUGGUUCGGAUGUACCUCCUCCUGAUAAUUAUAUCGGAGCCAUUAAAUUUAGAAUUACUAAAAUAAAUCUGCCCAAAAAUUCUUGGAUUCAUUCGCUCAUCUAAUGAGCAAAUGCAGAAGAUACCGACACAGAAGUCCAAGUAGAAGCAGUUCUCGAAGAUACCAUUCCCGCUCCCGUUCUCGGUCUCACUCUCAUUCUCGCUCACGCUCGCGCUCUCAUUCCCGCUCACCAAGGGUUAGAAGCCGUUCAAGGCACUCAUAGUUACGCUGGCAUGGAGAAAACUUAUACUUGAGCAUUACAUUCUCUUUAAAACUACCAGAGGGCCCUUUUUUUUUCUUAUAGAAAUUAUAUGAGCCUUUUUGUCAUAUCAUGUCAUAUAUUCUCUCUUUGAUUCCACUGCUUAAUUGCAUCUACCAAUUGUGUAUAUUGUGCAAGAAACAAUGAAAGAUUAAAAGUAAGUAGUAAGUAUGAAGAGAUCAUCGCAGAUGCAAUUGUGGAAAUUUAUGUUUUUAAUCAACAUUGGUGAAUGCUAAGUUAUGAGAUUGUGAGUUCACAGAAAAAUGAAAAACGAGCAAG
RNAcentral lists this unclassified non-coding RNA (904 nucleotides) under Hevea brasiliensis (rubber tree). The record is from RNAcentral. Lineage: Eukaryota; Viridiplantae; Streptophyta; Magnoliopsida; Malpighiales; Euphorbiaceae.